This 402-nucleotide ribosomal RNA is filed under the name uncultured Rhodoplanes sp. RNAcentral describes it as "bacterial SSU rRNA". It matches the Rfam family "Bacterial small subunit ribosomal RNA", at positions 355 to 774 of the family's 1533-position model. Lineage: Bacteria; Pseudomonadati; Pseudomonadota; Alphaproteobacteria; Hyphomicrobiales; Nitrobacteraceae. The record is from RNAcentral.
UGGGGAAUAUUGGACAAUGGGCGCAAGCCUGAUCCAGCCAUGCCGCGUGGAUGAUGAAGGCCCUAGGGUUGUAAAGUCCUUUCGGCGGGGAAGAUAAUGACGGUACCCGCAGAAGAAGCCCCGGCUAACUUCGUGCCAGCAGCCGCGGUAAUACGAAGGGGGCUAGCGUUGCUCGGAAUCACUGGGCGUAAAGCGCACGUAGGCGGACUCUUAAGUCGGUGGUGAAAUCCUGGAGCUCAACUCCAGAACUGCCUUCGAUACUGAGAGUCUUGAGUCCGGGAGAGGUGAGUGGAACUGCGAGUGUAGAGGUGAAAUUCGUAGAUAUUCGCAAGAACACCAGUGGCGAAGGCGGCUCACUGGCCCGGUACUGACGCUGAGGUGCGAAAGCGUGGGGAGCAAACA